This 160-nucleotide non-coding RNA is filed under the name Fragilariopsis kerguelensis. The record is from RNAcentral. Lineage: Eukaryota; Bacillariophyta; Bacillariophyceae; Bacillariales; Bacillariaceae.
ACAUCAGUGGUACGAAUAAAGAAAUAAAAGAAACACAAAUAAAAAACGAACUGAUACGGUACUGUCAGGACUAGUCUACAACAUCAAUUACAUCCUUUCGUUUGUCACUUACAGUUUUUUGUUUCUCUAUUCUGCUCCUUCCUUCUUUUUCUUUUCAAUC